RNAcentral lists this ribosomal RNA (464 nucleotides) under uncultured bacterium. RNAcentral describes it as "partial 16S ribosomal RNA". It matches the Rfam family "Bacterial small subunit ribosomal RNA", at positions 29 to 507 of the family's 1533-position model. The record is from RNAcentral.
ACGAACGCUGGCGGCGUGCUUAACACAUGCAAGUCGAACGGUAAGGCCCCUUCGGGGGUACACGAGUGGCGAACGGGUGAGUAACACGUGAGCAACCUGCCCUUGACUCUGGAAUAACAGUUGGAAACAGCUGCUAAUACUGGAUAUUCAUCGUCUCCUUCCUGGGGGGUGAUGGAAAGCUCCGGCGGUCAGGGAUGGGCUCGCGGCCUAUCAGCUUGUUGGUGAGGUAAUGGCUCACCAAGGCUUCGACGGGUAGCCGGCCUGAGAGGGCGACCGGCCACACUGGGACUGAGAUACGGCCCAGACUCCUACGGGAGGCAGCAGUGGGGAAUAUUGCACAAUGGGCGCAAGCCUGAUGCAGCAACGCCGCGUGCGGGAUGACGGCCUUCGGGUUGUAAACCGCUUUCAGUAGGGACGAAGGGUGACUGACGGUACCUACAGAAGAAGGACCGGCUAACUACGUG